CAUUCUGUAGCAAUACAGGAUGUGGGCGCGUGGCGAACGGGUGCGUAACACGUGGAUAACCUUCCUUCAGGUGGGGAAUAACCCAGUGAAAAUUGGGCUAAUACCGCAUAACAUCGCGAUGGCACAUGCUGUUGCGUUCAAAGGCGCAAGUCGCCAGAAGAGGGAUCCGCGGCCGAUUAGCUUGUUGGCGAGGUAAUGGCUCACCAAGGCAUUGAUCGGUAGCCGGACUGAGAGGUUGGCCGGCCACACUGGAACUGAGACACGGUCCAGACUCCUACGGGAGGCAGCAGUGGGGAAUCUUGCACAAUGGACGAAAGUCUGAUGCAGCAACGCCGCGUGGGGGAUGAAGCUUCUCGGAGUGUAAACCCCUUUCGACCCGGAAGAAAGCCCGCAAGGGUUUGACGGUACGGGUAUAAGAAGCCCCGGCUAACUACGUGCCAGCAGCCGCGGUAAAACGUAGGGGGCCAGCGUUGCUCGGAAUUACUGGGCGUAAAGGGUCCGUAGGCGGUGUGGCAAGUCGGUAGUGAAAUCUCUGGGCUUAACUCAGAGGCUGCUGCCGAAACUGCUGUGCUAGAGUGCGAGAGAGGCGAGUGGAAUUGCGGGUGUAGCGGUGAAAUGCGUAGAUAUCCGCAGGAACAUCCGAGGCGAAAGCGGCUCGCUGGAUCGCAACUGACGCUGAGGGACGAAAGCUAGGGGAGCAAACAGGAUUAGAUACCCUGGUAGUCCUAGCCCUAAACCAUCAGGACUUGGGGUUUGCCCUGUACGGGGCAAGUCCCGUAGCUAACGCGUUAAGUCCUGCGCCU
RNAcentral lists this ribosomal RNA (803 nucleotides) under uncultured Bacillota bacterium. RNAcentral describes it as "bacterial SSU rRNA". It matches the Rfam family "Bacterial small subunit ribosomal RNA", at positions 70 to 874 of the family's 1533-position model. The record is from RNAcentral. Lineage: Bacteria; Bacillati; Bacillota.